CUCUCAGAGUUUCUCUCUGGGUUUUUAUCUCCCUCUCCUGUUUGCCUGGUCCUAGUUCCGUUUUCAGUUAAGAGCCUUCAGAGAGAAAUAAUCUGAUUGGCCCAUCUCGUCCCUGUGUGGGAAGAACUUUCCGCUGGCCAGUCCACAGACUGGCUGUCUUCGGGUCAGGUGCAUGAGUGUCAUCCAGCCAGCCAUGUUGGAGCCAGGGUCAAGUGGAGGAGAACGUGGCAGUCCGGAAGCUUUCAAGUCAGCCAGGCAUCUUUCUGGGUCAUGAAGAAACUCCCUUCCUUCUCCAUCACAGCUCCUCACUUUCUGCACUGCUGACCAUCUCCCUGCCCUGCUUCAGGAUGUCCUCAACCUUUGGAUGGAAGAAGAGUUAACACGGGGAAGCCACGCAUGUGGGCUAAGGAGCGGCCACCGCACACUUCACCUGGGUGACCAGGGUAUCCUGAGACACACUCCUGUGCCCGGGACAGCCGAGGUGCUUGAACUCGGCUGUGGAAACAAGGGUCACGGGAAGCAGAGGCUGCCAGGCCCUUGCGGUCCUGUCACGG
This is a long non-coding RNA of Herpailurus yagouaroundi (jaguarundi), 554 nucleotides long. RefSeq lists it as uncharacterized. The transcript has 3 exons. NCBI's taxonomy places the organism in Eukaryota, Metazoa, Chordata, Mammalia, Carnivora, Felidae. The record is from RefSeq and is a predicted model, not a curated record.